Long non-coding RNA from Aquila chrysaetos chrysaetos, 2084 nucleotides. RefSeq lists it as uncharacterized. The transcript is spliced from 3 exons. Lineage: Eukaryota; Metazoa; Chordata; Aves; Accipitriformes; Accipitridae. The record is from RefSeq and is a predicted model, not a curated record.
UCUGGCAGUGUCACAGCUCCCGCACGUGCAGCCCCAUCUCUCCCCGUGCGUGCUCUGCGCCCACAGCAACCCCCCGCCACCGCGGGCAGGGGAGGGCAGAGGGAUAGUGGGAUGUGACACGGGGGGGGCCACAUCCUUCUCCCCACCCUGAGAAGGUGGCCUGGACUGCCAGGAGCAUCAGCAAGAGGUCUGCGGGUUGCAGUGCGGAGAGCAGCUCUUGGCUCCCUGUGCCAGGAAAAUCCUUCACUCGGCACCUCCCGCGCUGCGCCAAGGGGAGGUGAUGUCCUCGGCACCGGGGGUGUUCACGGCUUCCCCAUCUGCUGGGCUCCUCUCUGGCUUCUCUCCACCCUGGGGAUUUUGCGGCGGUCCUGGCGCCCGGCGGAGCGCUGCCGGCUCUCUGCCAGUGUGCCUGCAGCCCGGCAGCACCCAGCCCUGCCAGGCUCUGCCCGCCAGGCCCUGGGCACCAGGAUCCUCCACAUCCAUCUGCAGCUCUGGGAAAAACCCCCUUCAUCCCAGGCUGCCAGCGCAGGUCUCGCAGCUAUAAGCUCUGCAGCAGCCCUGGCCCCCCCCGCAGCCAGGAGAUGCCCGUGGCUCCGGGCGAAGGAGGGACAGGGAUUAGUUUAAUUUAGCGCCUGGAACAUCGGGACGGGGGAUCGUGCAGGGUGAGUAAUUGCGAGGACAGUGCAUCUGCUAGCAGCGCAGUUUUAGGCGCUGUUUCAUUAGUGGUCCCUGCACGUCGUUAUCUCGGCUGCGUGCCAGGCACAUGACGGGAGGGACCACAGCCCGCUCCGUCCUGGUCAAACCUGCCACACUGAAACCCAGGGGUUUGCAGGGUUUCUCAGCAGUUUUCCUCCCAGAGUUAUUUAUAUUUGUCCAUGUUUCCACCUGCAAGACCUCUGGGAAGCUCGUUCCUUCCCAGCCUGCGGCAAGAGAGGAGCCUUCGUGUUUGUCCUGCCUGUGCCAGUUACCGCUGUGGUUUGCCCUUGUCAGUGGGCUGGAGCCCAGUGAGUGCCGGGGGAAAGCCAGGCUGGCUCCUGCCCCUCCUGUGGGGUGGCCGGAGACUCCCCAGGCUCUGCCAUGUGUCCCUGCAGCCGGUGGGUCUGUCACCCUGCGGGACACGUGGCGGAGGCGUGGGGCCCCCCUCCCCGCACUGUGGGUGCCCGGGGUCUUCUGCAGUACCUGCGUCCCCCCGGGGCUCCCACAUCCCGAGCCCCUUUGCUCCUUUCCCCCACCCGCUUCUGCUCUAGAGAGGCAAAACUCUGUGUAAAAGCCUCUCAAGACACAAGUUUCUCACAAAUUCUGCCUGAAGUCUGGAGCCCUGUGCCUUGCUCUCCGCUGCCUGGGGUGUUUGCAUGUUUCUGCUCCCCGCUCCUUUGUGCAAGUAUUGCAGGUUUUUUGCCUUCUGCACAGCCCUCCUUGCUUCCCCAGGGCUGCUGGGCUCAUUAAUUUCCCUCUCAUUACGGCUCUGAAUACCUCCCAGGCAACAUUUUUAGAUGUUUGACCUAUAUGCAGAUGAUUUAUUUUCCUGUGCGAUGCCAGCCCGAACGGCAGCGUCCCUCCUCGGGGAGGCGUGAGGCUCCCGGGGCUGUUCCCUUGGCUGCAGGGAAAGGCACGUACGUCCCUUUCUGCCCUGCCGUGCCCCAGCUCUGCACCCUGGUCCCGGGCUGCUGUGAGUCCUGGGGCUGCCCGAGCCCGGUCCCCCGGGAGGGGACAGGGGACACGGGGCACCGGGAGCCUGCCUGACGUCUCUGCCUGAGCCGAGGCGCUGGGAUGCUGUGGGUGCUGUCCUCCCCUCGCUGCCUGCUUCUGCCCAUUGCAGAGUUGCCGGUAAAAAUGGGAAGGGAAGCGGCAAACAGCUCUCAGGGGCGCAGGGGGAAUGUGUAUGGCCCUUCCUGGCUCUCUGUCCGGGUAAACCUGCCCCGUGCCCUGGCCGGGGGGGGCUGUAGGGGACGGUUCUCUGCUGAGCCCACCUGGAGCUCUGGCACAGUCCCAGCUGGGCCUUGGUCCCUCUCCCGGGUCUCGGCUCACCCUCGAGGCGCAGACCCCGGGAGCGGGGUACGGUGCUGCCAGCCCAAGGCUCGCCC